Molecule: ribosomal RNA, 253 nt
Filed under: uncultured bacterium
Lineage: Bacteria
Description: partial 16S ribosomal RNA
Rfam family: Bacterial small subunit ribosomal RNA
Source: RNAcentral
UACGUAGGGGGCAAGCGUUGUCCGGAAUCAUUGGGCGUAAAGCGCGUGUAGGCGGCCCGGUAAGUCCGCUGUGAAAGUCGGGGGCUCAACCCUCGAAUGCCGGUGGAUACUGUCGGGCUAGGGUGCGGGAGAGGCGAGUGGAAUUCCGGGUGUAGUGGUGAAAUGCGUAGAGAUCCGGAGGAACACCAGUGGCGAAGGCGACACGCUGGGCCGUACCUGACACUGAUGCGCGACAGCAUGGGGAGCAAACAGG